This 1364-nucleotide ribosomal RNA is filed under the name metagenome. RNAcentral's name for it is "bacterial SSU rRNA". It matches the Rfam family "Bacterial small subunit ribosomal RNA", at positions 8 to 1371 of the family's 1533-position model. The record is from RNAcentral.
AGAGUUUGAUCCUGGCUCAGGAUGAACGCUGGCGGCGUGCUUAACACAUGCAAGUCGAACGAAGCACUCUAUUUGAUUUCCUUCGGGAUUGAUUAUUUUGUGACUGAGUGGCGGACGGGUGAGUAACGCGUGGGUAACCUGCCUUGUACAGGGGGAUAACAGUUGGAAACGGCUGCUAAUACCGCAUAAGCGCACAGUACCGCAUGGUAUAGUGUGAAAAACUCCGGUGGUAUAAGAUGGACCCGCGUUUGAUUAGCUAGUUGGUGGGGUAACGGCCUACCAAGGCGACGAUCAAUAGCCGACCUGAGAGGGUGACCGGCCACAUUGGGACUGAGACACGGCCCAAACUCCUACGGGAGGCAGCAGUGGGGAAUAUUGCACAAUGGGCGAAAGCCUGAUGCAGCGACGCCGCGUGAGCGAAGAAGUAUUUCGGUAUGUAAAGCUCUAUCAGCAGGGAAGAUAAUGACGGUACCUGACUAAGAAGCUCCGGCUAAAUACGUGCCAGCAGCCGCGGUAAUACGUAUGGUGCAAGCGUUAUCCGGAUUUACUGGGUGUAAAGGGAGCGCAGGCGGUGCGGCAAGUCUGAUGUGAAAGCCCGGGGCUCAACCCCGGUACUGCAUUGGAAACUGUCGUACUAGAGUGUCGGAGGGGUAAGCGGAAUUCCUAGUGUAGCGGUGAAAUGCGUAGAUAUUAGGAGGAACACUAGUGGCGAAGGCGGCUUACUGGACGAUAACUGACGCUGAGGCUCGAAAGCGUGGGGAGCAAACGGGAUUAGAUACCCUGGUAGUCCACGCCAUAAACGAUGAAUACUAGGUGUCGGGAGGCAUUGCCUUUCGGUGCCGUCGCAAACGCAGUAAGUAUUCCACCUGGGGAGUACGUUCGCAAGAAUGAAACUCAAAGGAAUUGACGGGGACCCGCACAAGCGGUGGAGCAUGUGGUUUAAUUCGAAGCAACGCGAAGAACCUUACCAAGUCUUGACAUCCUUCUGACCGGUACUUAAUCGUACCUUCUCUUCGGAGCAGGAGUGACAGGUGGUGCAUGGUUGUCGUCAGCUCGUGUCGUGAGAUGUUGGGUUAAGUCCCGCAACGAGCGCAACCCUUAUCUUUAGUAGCCAGCGGUUUGGCCGGGCACUCUAGAGAGACUGCCAGGGAUAACCUGGAGGAAGGCGGGGAUGACGUCGAAUCAUCAUGCCCCUUAUGACUUGGGCUACACACGUGCUACAAUGGCGUAAACAAAGGGAAGCAAAGCUGUGAAGCCGAGCAAAUCUCAAAAAUAACGUCUCAGUUCGGACUGUAGUCUGCAACCCGACUACACGAAGCUGGAAUCGCUAGUAAUCGCAGAUCAGAAUGCUGCGGUGAAUACGU